GGGGACGACUUGGCUUCGACGCGGGUUACAAACCCUGAGGUGCAUGCCGAGAUGACAGCAAAUCUCGUAAAUCCAAAGCUGUAAACAUAUAAUUGCAAACGACGAAAGUUACGCUCUAGCGGCCUAAACCCCUGCUAGCGUCCACUCUAAGGUGCUUGUACCGCGGAACUGGAUGUCAAAUAGAACAAGUUCGCCAAAAGACCUCGUUCCUGGUCGAUUGGUUAAAAAUUUAGGAGCUCGCCUUUUGCACCCUGACCUUUGGGUCGCUCUUGGUUAAAUCAAUUAAAGGACUUCUAAGCAUGUAGAGCUGAUGGCAGAGGACUGGCGGACGCGGGUUCAAUUCCCGCCGUCUCCACCA
RNAcentral lists this transfer-messenger RNA (358 nucleotides) under Oleiphilaceae. RNAcentral describes it as "JACKOB01 sp024234575 Standard tmRNA". It matches the Rfam family "transfer-messenger RNA". Rfam says of the family: Bacterial tmRNA, also known as 10Sa RNA or SsrA, is named for its dual tRNA and mRNA-like properties. Its role is to liberate the mRNA from a stalled ribosome. The record is from RNAcentral. Lineage: Bacteria; Pseudomonadati; Pseudomonadota; Gammaproteobacteria; Oceanospirillales. RNAcentral also lists the same sequence under 1 other name.